RNAcentral lists this long non-coding RNA (257 nucleotides) under Pan troglodytes (chimpanzee). RNAcentral describes it as "long non-coding RNA NONPTRT017974". The record is from RNAcentral. Lineage: Eukaryota; Metazoa; Chordata; Mammalia; Primates; Hominidae.
UGGCCACUCCUGCUGCCGUCUCCACAGCUCUGGAAUGAUGAAGUGGACAAGGCCGAGCAGGAGCUCCGCGUGGCCCAGACAGAGUUUGACCGGCAAGCAGAAGUGACCCGUCUCUUGCUGGAGGGAAUCAGUAGCACUCACGUGAACCACCUGCGCUGCCUCCACGAGUUCGUCAAGUCUCAGACAACCUACUACGCACAGUGCUACCGCCACAUGCUGGACUUGCAGAAGCAGCUGGGCAGCUCCCAGGGUGCCAU